This 376-nucleotide ribosomal RNA is filed under the name uncultured organism. Its description in RNAcentral is "partial 16S ribosomal RNA". It matches the Rfam family "Bacterial small subunit ribosomal RNA", at positions 527 to 896 of the family's 1533-position model. The record is from RNAcentral.
GUACUGUGCAAACGUUAUUCGGGAAUCACUGGGGCUUAAAGGGUGCGUAGGCGGUUGAUUAAGUAGGGGGGUGUGAAAGCUCUCGGGCCUAACCGAGGGAAUUGCGCUCUAAACUGAUCGACUUGAGUGAGAUAGGGGUGUGCGGAACUUCCAGUGGAGCGGUGAAAUGUGUUGAUAUUGGAAGGAACGCCGGUGGCGAAAGCGGCACACUGGGUCUCAACUGACGCUGAGGCACGAAAGCCAGGGUAGCGAACGGGAUUAGAUACCCCGGUAGUCCUGGCUGUAAACGAUGAGCACUAGACGGGAGGAGCUUCGGCUCAUCCGGUCGCAGCGAAAGCAAUAAGUGCUCCGCCUGGGGAGUAUGGUCGCAAGGCUG